This is a long non-coding RNA of Rosa chinensis, 276 nucleotides long. RefSeq lists it as uncharacterized. The record is from RefSeq and is a predicted model, not a curated record. The transcript is spliced from 2 exons. NCBI's taxonomy places the organism in Eukaryota, Viridiplantae, Streptophyta, Magnoliopsida, Rosales, Rosaceae.
CCAGAGUGUGGAAUACGCCGGCAUUUUCUAGGUUACAACGAGGUCAUUCCGGACGAUUUGGAUUAGAAGUGGGUCGUUGGCCGAGUUCGUGUGUUGCUGUUCCUGUUGCUUGAAGUUCUUCCCUUUUGGUAUUCCAUCGAUUUACUCAUUUUUCAUUCCAUGUUGAACCCUGUGAGGUCCGCUUACCUGGGAGCGCGCCUCACCCCCUUGUUUUAUUGUUAUCGUUGAACUCCUUUCAUUUUAGUUAUGAUGUAAGCCCUAAGGCGCCACAGUGCA